This 349-nucleotide ribosomal RNA is filed under the name uncultured Polaromonas sp. Its description in RNAcentral is "bacterial SSU rRNA". It matches the Rfam family "Bacterial small subunit ribosomal RNA", at positions 1030 to 1382 of the family's 1533-position model. The record is from RNAcentral. Lineage: Bacteria; Pseudomonadati; Pseudomonadota; Betaproteobacteria; Burkholderiales; Comamonadaceae.
UAACACAGGUGCUGCAUGGCUGUCGUCAGCUCGUGUCGUGAGAUGUUGGGUUAAGUCCCGCAACGAGCGCAACCCUUGUCAUUAGUUGCUACAUUUAGUUGGGCACUCUAAUGAGACUGCCGGUGACAAACCGGAGGAAGGUGGGGAUGACGUCAAGUCCUCAUGGCCCUUAUAGGUAGGGCUACACACGUCAUACAAUGGAUGGUACAAAGGGUCGCCAACCCGCGAGGGGGAGCCAAUCCCAUAAACCAUUCGUAGUCCGGAUCGCAGUCUGCAACUCGACUGCGUGAAGUCGGAAUCGCUAGUAAUCGUGGAUCAGAAUGUCACGGUGAAUACGUUCCCGGGUCUU